Trichonephila clavipes is the source of this 73-nucleotide non-coding RNA. NCBI's taxonomy places the organism in Eukaryota, Metazoa, Arthropoda, Arachnida, Araneae, Nephilidae. The record is from the annotation of a GenBank genome assembly.
GCCCCUGUCGUGCAAUGAGUAGCGCGUUGGACUUCUAAUCCCAAGGUCGUGGGUUCGAAUCCCACCUGGGAUG